This 74-nucleotide transfer RNA is filed under the name Schistocerca americana (American grasshopper). RNAcentral describes it as "tRNA-Ile". It matches the Rfam family "tRNA". Rfam says of the family: Transfer RNA (tRNA) molecules are approximately 80 nucleotides in length. Lineage: Eukaryota; Metazoa; Arthropoda; Insecta; Orthoptera; Acrididae. RNAcentral also lists the same sequence under 2 other names. The record is from RNAcentral.
GGCCCGUUAGCUCAGUUGGUUAGAGCGUCGUGCUAAUAACGCGAAGGUCGUGGGUUCGAUCCCCACACGGGCCA